This 617-nucleotide long non-coding RNA is filed under the name Phoenix dactylifera (date palm). RNAcentral describes it as "long non-coding RNA (PDAC_LNC014375)". The record is from RNAcentral. Lineage: Eukaryota; Viridiplantae; Streptophyta; Magnoliopsida; Arecales; Arecaceae.
AGCCUCAAGGUGUAUCGUAAAGAUUUUCAGAUUAAAUUUCAGAUGAUACAUAUUGGAGAGUAUUAGGAUCACUUUUCAUUUAGUAUUCUUUCUCUCUCCUUUAGUUAUGGAUUUAUGCGAUUAAGUUCCACAUGAUCUUUCCUUCUGAAAUUUUCUUUCUCCCCCUUAAUUGAUCGUUCCUAUUUAAGAGUUUAGAAUUUGAAGAUAAUGUUCAAUAAAAUUGUCAAUCUCGAAAAUAUAUUUUCUAUAAGUUUCAGCAUAUUUUCAUAAGACUCAAGGUUUGAGAUAAGACAACCUUUAUAGAAUUCAACUCAAGGCAAGCAAUGGCAACACAAGGAGGUUUAUCAAAAUCAAUCCAUAAAACAUUCAAGAUAUUCAUCAAAUGGAUGUAACCUUUUGCAUUUAGAUUGAAUAUCUAAAGNUCCCCCUCAAAAGAUGCAUUCUUCUUUAAUCAUUCUUUUCUUUGUUGAAUUUCAGAUUUUGAUGAUAAGCGUGAAUAGAACUGAAAUUCUAUGAUAUCGAGAAUGUAGAGUGAUCUAGAGUUAUUCAAAAUUUGUAGCAAUUACUCUUUCUAAUCUUUCAAGAACAAGUUAUGCUUUCUCUUAAUCUUAGAGAAA